UGGGCCCUACGGGGGGCAGCAGUAGGGAAUCUUCCACAAUGGACGAAAGUCUGAUGGAGCAACGCCGCGUGAGUGAAGAAGGGUUUCGGCUCGGAAAGCUCUGUUGGUAGUGGAGAAAGAUAGAGGUAGUAACUGGCCUUUAUUUGACGGGAAUUACUUAGAAAGUCACGGCUAACUACGUGCCAGCAGCCGCGGUAAUACGUAGGGGGCAAGCGUUGUCCGGAUUUAUUGGGCGUAAAGC
RNAcentral lists this ribosomal RNA (241 nucleotides) under uncultured bacterium. RNAcentral describes it as "partial 16S ribosomal RNA". It matches the Rfam family "Bacterial small subunit ribosomal RNA", at positions 333 to 566 of the family's 1533-position model. The record is from RNAcentral.